This 886-nucleotide long non-coding RNA is filed under the name Salmo salar (Atlantic salmon). RNAcentral describes it as "lncRNA (ENSSSAG00000110134.1)". The record is from RNAcentral. Lineage: Eukaryota; Metazoa; Chordata; Actinopteri; Salmoniformes; Salmonidae.
GAUGGGAGUCGAAAAGAGAAAACACAGAAGGUUGUAUAAAACACUGUUGUCUCCGGAUUACAUCUUCAAACUAAGGGUAACCAUGGCAUUCGUGACAGAGAGGGAGAAACGUUCAUCCGUGUAUAUGGAUCUCAAUGACUGCAAGGACCAGUGCCGACACGGUGGAACCUGCAGGGCUGGAGAUGUGAAGGACAUCGAGGGUGUUGAGGUCUAUGGAGGCUAUAUCAGCCCCACAUAGCUCUGCCUCUGUCAAGGGUCAAAGGUGGACUCCAAUCAAGUUGUAGAAACAUCUCAAGGAUGAUCAAUGGAAACAGGAUGCACCUGAGCUCAAUUUUGAGUCUCAUAGCAAAGGGUCUGAAUACUUAUGUAAAUAAGGUAUUUAAGUAGCACGCGCUCCAGCAGGUAUAUCUCUCUGGUCACCCCCAAGGCCAAUUCCUCCUUUGGCCGCCUCUCCUUCCAGUUCUCUGCUGCCAAUGACUGGAACGAACUACAAAAAUCUCUGAAACUGGAAACACUUAUCUCCCUCACUAGCUUUAAGCACCAGCUGUCAGAGCAGCUCCCAGAUCACUGCACCUGUACAUAGCCCAUCUAUAAUUUAGCCCAAACAACUACCGCUUCACCUACUGUAUUUAUUUAUUUUGCUCCUUUGCACCCCAUUAUUUCUACUUUGCACUUUCUUCCACUACAAAUCUACCAUUCCAGUGUUUUACUUUCUAUAUUGUAUUUACUUUGCCAUGGUCUUUUUUGCCUUUACCUCCCUUAUCUCACCUCAUUUGCUCACAUUGUAUAUAGACUUAUUUUUCUACUGUAUUAUUGACUGUAUGUUUGUUUAUUCCAUGUGUAACUGUGUUGUUAUAUGUGUCGAACUGCUUUGCUUUAUCUUGGC